Molecule: ribosomal RNA, 464 nt
Filed under: uncultured bacterium
Lineage: Bacteria
Description: partial 16S ribosomal RNA
Rfam family: Bacterial small subunit ribosomal RNA
Source: RNAcentral
GACGAACGCUGGCGGCGUGCUUAACACAUGCAAGUCGAACGGAAAGGCCCUGCUUGCAGGGUACUCGAGUGGCGAACGGGUGAGUAACACGUGGGUGAUCUGCCCUGCACUUCGGGAUAAGCCUGGGAAACUGGGUCUAAUACCGGAUAGGAGCCAUUUUUAGUGUGAUGGUUGGAAAGUUUUUUCGGUGUAGGAUGAGCUCGCGGCCUAUCAGCUUGUUGGUGGGGUAAUGGCCUACCAAGGCGGCGACGGGUAGCCGGCCUGAGAGGGUGGACGGCCACAUUGGGACUGAGAUACGGCCCAGACUCCUACGGGAGGCAGCAGUGGGGAAUAUUGCACAAUGGGCGCACGCCUGAUGCAGCGACGCCGCGUGGGGGAUGACGGCCUUCGGGUUGUAAACUCCUUUCGCUAGGGACGAAGCUUUUGUGACGGUACCUAGAUAAGAAGCACCGGCUAACUACGUG